GAUGAACGCUGGCGGCGUGCUUAACACAUGCAAGUCGAACGGUGAAGCAGAGCUUGCUCUGUGGAUCAGUGGCGAACGGGUGAGUAACACGUGAGCAACCUGCUCCUGACUCUGGGAUAAGCGCUGGAAACGGCGUCUAAUACUGGAUAUGAGCUGCGACCGCAUGGUCAGCAGUUGGAAAGAUUUUUCGGUCUGGGAUGGGCUCACGGCCUAUCAGCUUGUUGGUGAGGUAAUGGCUCACCAAGGCGUCGACGGGUAGCCGGCCUGAGAGGGUGACCGGCCACACUGGGACUGAGACACGGCCCAGACUCCUACGGGAGGCAGCAGUGGGGAAUAUUGCACAAUGGGCGAAAGCCUGAUGCAGCAACGCCGCGUGAGGGAUGACGGCCUUCGGGUUGUAAACCUCUUUUAGCAGGGAAGAAGCGAAAGCGACGGUACCUGCAGAAAAAGCGCCGGCUAACUACGUG
This 467-nucleotide ribosomal RNA is filed under the name uncultured bacterium. RNAcentral describes it as "partial 16S ribosomal RNA". It matches the Rfam family "Bacterial small subunit ribosomal RNA", at positions 28 to 507 of the family's 1533-position model. The record is from RNAcentral.